Molecule: long non-coding RNA, 965 nt
Organism: Adelges cooleyi (spruce gall adelgid)
Lineage: Eukaryota; Metazoa; Arthropoda; Insecta; Hemiptera; Adelgidae
Exons: 4
Source: RefSeq, a predicted model, not a curated record
GUAAACCGUUUCAUUUUCUAAUAUCUUUCAUUUACUUUGUAAAAAAAUUAUUAUUGUUUUCCAUUACUCUGUGUACUUACAUCUACCAUUGUUGUCAUUUUUAAUUUAUUCAAUUUAUUUGUUGAAACUUGAUAUCGUCUUAACGGGCAAUAUAUUCCGUUUCGAUGAUGAGUUUCGACCUGGAACUAGCGAUUUGGAAAGAUCUACCUGUGCAAUAUUGUGCCCCUGAUACACGAAUAAACCUCCUGAGCAGUGCAACGAUUCAGAAAGUUAAGGUCCUUCAGGUAAUCCUGAAUAUGACAACGAACUACGGAGCGUACAACGAGUUUCCUGGAAUGUCAACGCAAAGUAUUCCAGACUAACAGUCCAGCGAUUCGGGAAGUGGUAGUUCAUCCUAAAAAAUUGAGCUCCCACUACUCGAGUGAGACCACAAUUAAACAAAUCAACAAUUGUAUUAAUAACAAACAUUUUGGAGUAAAAACGUUUCUUUACAAUUAUUAUCUGUCGGUACCAGCGAUCCCAGUACACGAAUAAGCUGCCGACUAAAACAAUCAAGAACUCGGGUAUUCAUGACAAACAUUAUCACAGAUAAGAGGACGAAGCAUUUCAGAUGUGGUGUAAAUGAAUCUUGGAGAAAAAUAUCCAAAAAUAUAUUUAUUAAUAUAAAUUUUAUUUUAUCUAGUUUUUUCAUGUAUGCUUUCAUAUUUUGUUAAUAACUUGUUCCUAUUGUUUAUACUACAGUUACAUUCAAUUUUUUUUUGUACUCAAGCUUAACGUGACCUUUUGAGAUUGCUUAUGUCAAUAUUAUUGUAUUCUUGCUACCUACCUUUUCAUAAUUAUUGUGUAUAUAUAAAUAUUUUACUUCAAUUGUAAAUCUUAUAAUUUAUUUACUCUGUAUAUUUUUUAUUAAAUACUUAUAAAAUUGAACGUUGUUUUAAUAAUUAAAUAAGUAAAAAUAACGGUAA